UGUUUGGAUCAAAACUUGAACUUUGGGCUCAAGGAAGGAGCUGGCCCAAAAGGAGGCCCAAAGGGAAAGAUAGCCAGAACCCAGUCAAAGCCCAGAAGGCAGAAAAAGGUCUUUUCUGACUUGGUGCAGCUCAUGAAGACCACUUGCUUACCUACCCAAAGGCCAAGUGGUGUGGACUGAUCAGCUACACAGCCCAUAAAGCACUUUACGGUGGCAUUACAUGUAAAAUAGUUGAUGAGUCAUCACCCUCAAACCGCAUUCGGGCAAGGCUGCUGCUACAGAAGGCCAAGCCGAGUUGUCUAUAUAAGAAGAAAGAAAAACCAGGAGUAGAGACACUCAAUCAAACAAACAAAUGCAAGCACAAACUCUGCUCAAAGCCAGAUUUGCCUUCAAAACAAAGCUGUAGUCAGCCUUCAUCCCUCUCGGGACAAGCCUUCAUCCCUCGCGGGAUAACCCUCCCUUCAAACCUUUGUAAUAGCUCUGCUACCUUGUUCACCCUGCUGUAGUAUCGAUUCAUCUUUUGUAAUCUCUCUCUCUAUCCCUCUAAGCUUUCAGACCCUUGACAAAACUACAAAGAUAGGAACCUACAAGACGAGCAACCUUACCUGAUAAGGUUUAACCUUGCCCGACCUUCUUUGCUUUGUUUUUGUCUUUUCAAUAUGUUGUAUACUUCCAGUUAUAUGCAAGUUAUUUCUAGCAAUAUGACUAUUAAAAGGCUUUCUCAGUACUUGAAUCCGAUUUGAAUAUAUCUUCAGUGUUCAAACCAGAUCCAAGUCCUAAGCCCUCGGGCAUGUAAAUUUGAUCAGUUAAAAGUCCUUGGCCUCAAGGCAUAAAAAAGAACCUUAUGUGGACUUAACCCAUCCACGACAGUCCUUGACAAACGAGAAGUCCGAAGUUACUUGGGGCGCAAGUAAUUGACCUACCCUCUAGUUUUAUUUCUAUUAUAUUAUGAUUACCAUAGAACGCUUGAGCAUGGAAUGGAUUCUGAUGGAAAGCCUCAAGGCCUACACCUAAGGCCCCACAAAGGCAUCCAUUUGGAUUCAUUCCGUUCUGCGAUCUAAAGAGUCUAAGUAUAAGAAUGAACUCUGAUGGGAAGCCUCAAGGCCUAUACUUAAGGCCCCACAAAGGCACCUAUUUGGGUUCAUUCUACUUCUUGGACUCGGGUAAUCAGAAGUAUAAUAGUUAGAAAACUCCGGCAAUCACGAGAACAAAUGUGAUGUGUUCGAGCACUGGUUUAGUUAUUGACGGGAAGCCUCAAGGCCUACACCUAAGGCCCCACAAAGGCACCUGUUAUAACUAACACGGUUUCUUGGAUACAUACAUAUAUACAACUAAAACGCGACAUCCAUUUUACAUCUGCCAUGCUAAAGAUGGCAGUGGCACGCCUAAGCACCUAAAAGUUAACCUUGAUUAUGAGCUUCAAGGCCUACACCUAAGGCCCCACAAAGGCACCUCUCAAAGUUAACGUUGUCCUUCUCUUUCAGCCUUGCCCGACGAGCCUUGCCCGAAGAGUCUUGCCCGACAAGACUUGCCCGACAACGCCCGACAGUGAAGCAGAAGCCCGACAGUAGCCCUCAACCGGCGUCAACCUCCAGGGGAGCUGUGUGCUCGUCGACCAGGAAACAUCCCCGACGGAAAUUCCUGACGCGAACAUAGUUUUGGCAUGCCCUGUGGGAUCAUAAACUUCUUAAUCUUGCAUGUCCAAAAAGAAAAGCCAUCAACUUGGCAAAAAGAAUCCGAAGGAAGGUCUUCUACAAAUGGCAGAUCAAUCAGAAAACCCUUCCUCCCCAUCAGGACAGGUGGUCCUAGAAAGCUCAACCGCAUCUGAGAGAUCGGAAGGAAAGGGAACUAGUGAAGAACUACAGGCCACUAUGAUCCAAGUGCUAAAAAGCAUGGAAAGAAUCUCCUUGGAAACCAAAGGAGAAGUGAGUAGGCUCUGUACACUAACAGGGAAUCUACAGAGAAGACUUGAUUUGGAGUUUUCUACUUUAAAAGGGGCUCAUGGAAGUGGGAUGAGCCAAGUUGUUAUGAGAAAUGAACCAAUCAUUCCCUUAUUCCCACUAUUAGAAGAAGAAAAAGAUAGGGGAAAGAAAAAGGUAGUUCCUAAAGGGAGUCAACCGAUGAUGGAGCCAGUUCUGGAGAAGGAGCUUCCCAGCUUCCCAUUAUUAUCAUUCAAUAAUAGGAAGCCAAGCGAGCAAGAGAGAACGAAGUACGGGAUGCCAGCUAUGAUGGGAGAGACUAGCGGAAAUGAGGGCUCCACUACUUCAGAUAACCCCCACCUUAUAGGCCACCCCCGUUGGUGAAUAAAGGUGAAGGAACUAGUUGUUGGAAGCCCGAACCAAGGAGGGAAGCAAGUGCGGGCAACGACCGGAGCCUAAAAAUCGAAUCUGCUCUCCUUGGCCAUAAUGAUAUUCUAGCCGCUCAGCAACUGAUGGAGAAAUUAGCUAAGUUGAGAAGGACGGUUGCUCAAAAUGCUCAACCGCGAGCUCGCCCAGUGUUCAGGAUCACUUACCAAAAACCUUAUCCUGAAUAUAUUGACGAGCUAAAUCCAUUCCCUCUCAACUUCAAGAUGCCCGCAUUUCCAACAUUCACAGGUGAAGAUAGCAGCGUGUCCUCCAGAGACCAUAUUUUCAAAUUCUCCAAUCAUUGCGUGGCAUAUGAGGACAAUCCAAAUUACAAAUUGAGGUUGUUUGGGAAUUCAUUGGUAGGGUUAGCAUCUCAGUGGUACUCUCUAUUGCCCCCUAACUCUAUCGCCAACUGGGGGCAAAUGGAGAUGGCUUUCCAUGAACAGUUCUACAGAAUAGAGCCAGAAUUGACUAUCAAUGACCUUGUUGAAGUCAAACAAUAUGAUCAUGAAUCUACUGAGGACUUCAUGAUGAGGUUCAAGAGAACAAGGAUGAGAUGCCAAUUUCCCGUCAACCAAGCGCAGCUCAUAUCGAUUGCUCAAAGGGCUUUGAAAUUACCUUUGAGGAAAAGAUUUUAUGAUGCACAAUUUAAUGAGCUGCAAGAAUUGGUAAUUGCUGCCACGAAGUAUGAGAGGCUGUUGCAAGAAGAGCAACAAGUGAAGCACACUUCCAAAGUUCCUCCUUUCUACAAAAAUAAGGUUGCAAUUCAUCGUGUGGAAGUGGGAGAAACCAAGCCAGAGCAUGAGGGUGGCCGUGAUGAAGAGGAUAUGGACGUGUGUGCCGCUGAGAUGACCACACAUUUCAAGCCAUUGACGGUAAAGGGGCUAGUCCAACCUGUCAAGGAUCAGAAGGUUGUAAUGAACGAUGGUGGUUUUGUCCCCAUAAAACCACCCAAAUACCAGAGUUAUUCGUUCGAUCUAUCCAAGGCACCUGAGAUCUAUGAAGAACUGGUACGGGCAAGAGUAAUCUUGCCCGACAAUGCCAAAAAAAUGCCCAAGCCGGAAGAACUCAGGGGGAAAAAGUAUUGUAAGGUGCAUUAUACCUUCAACCAUUCCAUAGUUAAUUGUGUCCAGUUUAGAGAUUGGAUACAAGAUCUUAUAGUGAAGGGGAAGCUGUUACUUGACUCGCCCCAAGCCAGUAUGAUGGUAGAUACUAACCCUUUCCCUGAGGCUCCUAUCAAUAUGAUCAACCUCAUUUUACAAGAGCCAGGGUCACCAUUUGGUACUGUCGGGAAAGAAAAGGGCCCGGGUUGUCCCUACACCUUUGCAUGAAUAAAGUGUCAUGAAAGGGAUCAAGGGACCAAGAUCAGGUCCUAAGAUUGGUGUUAUCAGGGGAAGAAGAAGAAAGUAAAUGAGGGGGGCAAAGAGUUGCCCAAAGUCAAUUCAAAACAGUACCAAAGAGCAGAGCAGGAAGCAAAUCACAUGUUCAUUCCAGUAAGAAAAGAGUUACAAAUCAUCCUAUUCUAAAAAAUUUACAUCUUCACAUAGGGUGAUUAUUCGAGAAUGAUAUGUUUGCAUAAUGGCAAAAAUCCUACUGGGUUCGGCCAAAACAGUAUGGUUAUUUACAAGUUGAGACCGGGCACGCUCUAACUCCGAGUUUGACUUCUCCAUUCCCUCAAUUUGGUUUUCAAGGGUAUCUAGAAGAGUUGCUUGUUCUGCUUUAAUAGCAACCAAUUGUUCCUCCAGCUUUUGGAUUUUAGAAGUAACAACUCUGACCAUUUCUUUUGUCUGCAAGCUUUCUUCCAUCAACCGAUCAACUUGGGCAGAGGUGCUUGAUUCUUUCUCCAUGAAGCAUUUUGCCCGAUUAGCCUGUCUGUCCGCUCUCUGGUAUUGUUCCCUAAGAGCUCUCAGGUUCUCAAAGAAAGAUAGAAAAGAAUCAUGUUGAGGUUUUGAUAGCCGACCGGCUUUGAAAGACUCAGUUAUGAUCUUCUCAAAAUCACAAAGAGCCUUGAGGCUGAAUGAAGCGGUGAAAUCCUUCUUUGCCCAUUCCUGAAUGACUCGCUGUUGCUCUGAAGAAAUGGGGGUAGCUGAAGAUUGUUUUGAAGAUUUCAACCGUGUCUCAAGCCGUCCAAGUGCUUCGAAAGGUCUGGGCAACUUAGCAGGGUUUGGAGAUGCGAAAGGAGGAGGAUCCUGCACUGCAGCUUCCUCUAAUGAAGGAAUGCCCAUUAAGGGGGCAAUUUCUGCCUGCCCGAUCUGCUCAAUUCCAGAAGGGGGAAUCGCAGUACCUCCAGAAGAUGAGUGAGGAUGGGAGCGCUUUGAUUUGCGGACCAGAUGGGGGGGAAGUUUCUCUUGGAGCUUGCUGCAGAAAGCCAAAAGACCAGGUCAAGACAAUUUGAAUACAGUUUAAGGCAAAAGAGGAUUUGGAGAGAUGAAAUGUACCUGACUCAGCCCUGGGGUUUCACCAGGAAGAAGACUAAUUCCUGGUUGGCGGGAAAAUUCCUCACCACCAGUAGGAGAGUGAUGAGCUGCACCUGAACCUGUACCAGUGCCCUAGAGGUACCCAGAGAUAGCAGUAAUUAUCAGUAAGUAGAGCAUAAGAGAAAGAACAAGAAGAAAAUACUCCCAUACCUGAGUUUGGUCUUGAGGAGGAAAAAGAGGUUUAUCAACUGUCGGGCAAGCAAAUACCCGCGAAAUUGCUACCUCUGAAGCUACAGGGAUCUCAGGGACUAUGGGUUCAUUAUCUGAAACCACUAUUGUAGGAGGUGGCUCAUAUACCGGAGAAGGCUGUAGAGAACGUGAGUAAAAGUUAGUUGGGAAUCAAUGUACAGAAGUUCAAUAUGGAAUAUGUGACUCACCAAGUUACUAUCCUCAUCCACGAAAUGCAACAUAACUCCUGUAGAUGGAUCGAAUUGAGAAGAAGGGGUUGCGUCCAGAGUAGUAGAAUAAGUCAUAGACCUUAGAGAAGGGCCAUGACAAGGCAAGGAAGCAGAUGCUCCAGCCUAAAAAUAUUCAGACAUUAGGUCCAGAAGUUGGAAAGUUAUCCAAGAAUUAGAAGAGAAGAAAAAGCACCUCUGAAGGGUCGACCUGGGAGGGAGAUAAGCUUGUCUCUCGGGCAAAUUGUGGAGAGGCUUCCGGCGGAGAGAGCUUUUCCUUUCUUGCGGCCUGAGUCAAAUAAUCAGAUUUGGAGUUAUAUGAGAGCAAGAAGAGGCCUAAAGAAAAAUAUAUAAAUCAUACCUCAAGUUCUCUGAGGGCAGUAUUUUGCAGUUCUUCGGCCUUUUUGAGCAUUGCAGCUCUCAGUGGUUCCUCCUUAGAAGCAAGGAUUGGUCUUUUAGAUGCUUGGGGUCAUGUUCGCCGGUAAAUGAGACAAUUAGAUAAAGGAGAAAGGUAACAGUUUGAUGAAGAAAAACAGAAACUCACUUGAGGAUUGUUGCUUCUUUCUGCCUGCCUCAGGAACUGGAGCAGAUAGGGCUGAUGACUUAGGAGGAGCGGUAGUUUCUUGCUCUCUUACUUUUUCUAGUAAGAGUUGGUCGUGUGGUUUUGGGUAGAGGUACUGGAUCAGGAUCUGAAGUCUUAAUCACAUCCGCUUUCUUUCGCUUAGGUGCUUUAAUAAGUACCUCGGGUGUUUCUUCAGCUCCUGAAUCCCCAAAGGAUUCUGAAACAUCUGCACCCUCCCCAGCUUCUCGUCUCCCAGCCUCUGCGGCAGCUCCAUGAAGAAUUGCAGCAUCAGCAGAGUCAUCAUCGGAUUCAAUGACUUCCGAUUCAACAUCCACUAGAGCUGCAGAAUUCAGCAAAAGUAAGGAUAGAAGGACUCCAGAAGGGAAGCAAAAUCAGAUUGAAAGAGAAGUACCUAUCAGAAGUGACCGAUUCUUUUCUUGGAUCAUCUCCUUCCAAUUUUCAAGUUCGCCCGAGCCAGGGUAUGACUUAAGUGAAAGUUGGUUGAAAGGGCGAUCGUGAGUCUCUUUCAAAUCUCCUUCAUACUUCUUAGUCCAUUUGUCUUCCCACCAAGAAGAGAAGAGCGAGGUGCACCCAAAAUUGAGAAUGAUGGACUUUCGGGCCGCUUGACUCAUUACGUCAAGACUGCGUCGGGCAGCUCGGAAUGUCACUUCAGAUGGAGUUGGUAACCGGAAUGAAGUGCCACAAUGGACAGAGUCGAAGAACGGGACAGGAAUGGCCUGUCUAAAUCCUAACUGCCUGCUGCAAAAGUUAGGAUGGUACACUUCCAAGCCUCGGUCAUAUCUAUUACCCCGAACUCCCCAGGUCAGGUCUCUCGGUUGAAUGCAACUAAUAAAUAUCUCCCUGCAAAAGGGGGUAGCAUCCUCGCCAGGGGCAUCUUGAAAGACUUGGUCAGAAAACCAACGAUAUCUUCUUAAGACCGACGCACCCCAUUCUAAAUCUGAUCGAGUCCUACAAACUCUGAAGAAAUAGAAGCAGGUAAAUGUGGAAUGAUCUAUAGGGGCAGCUUCAGCCAGGAUUCAGGCAGGGGCCACACCCUCCGGGAACUCCAGAUUUGCAGCCCGAAAUUCUGGAAAGUACCAUUGAAGCCAAGUCUGUAUCAUCCAUAUAGGCCCAUUCAAGUUGGUCUCAAAUGGCUCGCCUUGAGUCAUUUCGAAAAGAAGAUGAUAAAGAUGGGAAAGGAGGAAUGGACCUGUAACUACAUCAUCAAAGUUGUGAAGAGCUUCUACUAAGGGGAUCCAUUCAACCCUCACCCCUUUAGAUUUGUUGGGGAAGAUGUGCUUGUUGAGCCAGUAUAAGAGGAAAUACAUAUGCUCCUGAUCUUUAUCAACCCGAGGUGAGCCCACCCCAAAAUUCUCCUUUACGAAGGGGAUGAAUCCUUUGAAGGAGGUCCCAUAACUCUUGAAAGUUGCAGAGUUAUAGUUCAAAGAGAGGAAGGCAGCAGAUGAACUUGAGCUUCAAGUGGUAGAGGACGGAACCCAGUCUUGAGUAACGUCCACUAUCCUGCCCGAGGGCCUUAAGCCGAAAACCUGAGCCAUGUCAAGAAUGGUGGGAGACAUGGGGCCCAUACGGAAGUCAAAAGUAUUCGUGCCCGAAUUCCAGAAAAGGAGGGCAGAAACAAGCAGUUCGGGCUUGGGAAUAAUAGAGGUCUUCGAAAGCAUGAUUAACUCAUAAAUACCAUUACUCAUCCAUUUCCUCUUAAAAGUAGGCUCUAAAUCAUCAAUCCAUUGAGCCCAGGCAGGAUCGUUCAUCAGAGGAAAGCCUCGACGAUAUGAUGACCAUUUGGAGGAAGAGAUGCCCGACCUAGCCGAGUAGGGAUUUGGGGAAAACCAGUUAUCUCUAGGCAUGUUGCUUUCCACCACUGAAGGGACUCGAGAAAUCCAGGCGGGACCCAAUGAUUGUACCCCAUGCACCUCAAAGAAAAGCUCGGAAUGCAGACCUGCCCGAGGGCGAUGCAGCCCAUUGAGUAGACGACGCAGAGUGGCAAUUCCUUCGCCAGAUUCGUAAGAGGGUUGGGUUUGGCUAGAUUCUGCAAUCAUUUGAGAAAGUUCGAGAAGGGAAUACCAAGGAAGAUGAUGAGGGCAAAACCUUAGAGAAGGAUUUCUUGCUGUGAAUACAGGGGAUUGAGGAGUUCAACCGCAAGGGGUUCGUGGGUUUUAUAAAAACCCUUUUUCAAUCAAUAUUGGCGCCUGGAAUUCCAGGCUAAAUAUUAAUUGAAGGGGGCACUGUUUGGAUCAAAACUUGAACUUUGGGCUCAAGGAAGGAGCUGGCCCAAAAGGAAAGAUAGCCAGAUCCCAGUCAAAGCCCAAAAGGCAGAAAAAGGUCUUUUCUGACUUGGUGCAGCUCAUGAAGACCACUUGCUUACCUACCCAAAGGCCAAGUGGUGUGGACUGAUCAGCUACACAGCCCAUAAAGCACUUUACGGUGGCAUUAACAUGUAAAAUAGUUGAUGAGUCAUCACCCUCAAACCGCAUUCGGGCAAGGCUGCUGCUACAGAAGGCCAAGCCGAGUUGUCUAUAUAAGAAGAAAGAAAAACCAGGAGUAGAGACACUCAAUCAAACAAACAAAUGCAAGCACAAACUCUGCUCAAAGCCAGAUUUGCUUUCAAAACAAAGCUGUAGUUAGCCUUCAUCCCUCUCGGGACAAGCCUUCAUCCCUCGCGGGAUAACCCUCCCUUCAAACCUUUGUAAUAGCUCUGCUACCUUGUUCACCCUGCUGUAGUAUCGAUUCAUCUUUUGUAAUCUCUCUCUCUAUCCCUCUAAGCUUUCAAACCCUUGACAAAACUACAAAGAUAGGAACCUACAAGACGAGCAACCUUAACUGAUAAGGUUUAACCUUGCCCGACCUUCUUUGCUUUGUUUUUUUCUUUUUAAUAUGUUGUAUACUUCCAGUUAUAUGCAAGUUAUUUCUAGCAAUAUGACUAUUAAAAGGCUUUCU
This 8734-nucleotide long non-coding RNA is filed under the name Malus domestica (apple). RNAcentral describes it as "long non-coding RNA (MDOM_LNC010208)". The record is from RNAcentral. Lineage: Eukaryota; Viridiplantae; Streptophyta; Magnoliopsida; Rosales; Rosaceae.